AGUAGAAGGAUAACAUGACAUAGCAGGAAUAAUACUGCCUUUUCUUUCUGGCAUGGAUCAAGAGAAAAGAAAAUACAAGAAAACAGACAGAAGAUCCUAUCUGCGACAAUUAAGAGCACUCUAAGAGGAAAACACAUCCCACCACACAAGGCAAGGUACUUCUAUGGAAGGGUGAGCCCUCACAGAUGGAGCAAUGGGGCGCGCACACCUGAACAAGGGAGGGGAAGGAGUUCUUAUCCCUGAUGCAUGUGACCCCUGCUGCUGUGUCCUUCCCCUAUUGGCUAAGGCUUCUGACAGCUUUGGAGAUUGUGACAUUGGAAUAAAGGAAAAACGUACAGGACUCAUGAAGCGCUGAAAUGUUCACAAAUAUCAAGCAAAAGUCAAUGAAAUUUAUUUUGAGCUAUUUACAUCAUUUAAUAAUUGAGCAAGGUAUACUCCUAUGAACAAAAUUUGGAGCAUGUUUGUCUCUCUCUGCCUGGCGUCUUCAGAAUUUGGAAACUAGUUAUGGUUUAUAAUCAGCUAUAGAAUUUUAACACGUGCUCUCAAAUGCAAGUUUCUGAUAACUUUGGAGAUUGUGACAUUGGAAUAAAGGAAGAGCUGGAAUGUUCAUGAAUAUCAAGCAAAAGUCAUGGAAAUUUAUUUUGAGCUAUUUACAGCAUUUAAUAAUUGAGCAAGGUAUACUCCUAUGAACAAAAUUUGGAGCAUGUUUGUCUCUCUCUGUCUGCCUGGCAUCUACAGAAUUUGGAAACUAGUUGUAAGUAUUCCUAACUUAUGGCAGUAUAAUUGUUUGCAUCAGUACAAUAAGAAUCCACUUUCUUUUGCAACAGGAUGCAAUUGGAGAAACUGGUUGUUUUACCAAGGCUUUGACUGGAAGGAUAUGCUUCCCUUUAAGAAACCAAGCUCAACUUACAGAGCUGAUAAAACCCCUUUGGGAAAACUGGCCUCAUACCUUGUCUACACAGUCCCCAUGCAGGGUUCCUAACGUGUGGUGAGUAAAGCAUGUCACUUUCUAACAGGUCCAGGAACCCCAUGUUCUUGGGACCUCAAGAAGAGUGGAGUUUACCAAUUCACAGGUAUUCGAGGGUAAAAACCCAUGGGUGGUUUCAGCUUCAGGAAGUCCUAUCUGAGAUUCCUUGUGGAACAGCGUUCCAUCAAAGCCAAUUUAAAAAGCCUAUGUCAAAAUAAUUAUUCUUGCUACACUCUAUGCAAAUAAACAGGCCAAGUAUAGGACUAAAGUUUAUUUUGCAAACAGCUUAGUCCUAUCAUGAUUUGUUUUUAACAAAGAUGAAGACUGGAGAAAGAAAUUAUGUUUCAAAACUUAUUAUACAUUUGUCAUUAAAUUCUAGACUCAUUAGCUGUUUUAAAGUUAUUGUCUACAUUUUGGACUAACCCUGCUAAUUUCUGUGAGCCAACCAGUGAUCUCUGGCUGCAGCUCACAAGGAACAAAAGGGAUAAGUAAUGUAAAACUCUGGAUCAAUAUUUUAAUUCUGAGCAAUUAUUCUGCAAAUCCAGUCAGGUAAUGGGAAUAAAUAAGGUGCCCAUCACCCAGAAGUUUCUUUUUUGGGAAAGUAAGACCAAGGGAACUAACCAAAGCAAAGCCCCAUGCACCCGAAUCUUAGCAAGCAUAACUACAGCCACCAGUUACCUGGGCAUGUCACAAGACAUCCUUUUCUCUCCCUUGUUGGAGCACGACUCAAUUCCACAGCCUCAUCUCAGCAUUUGGCUUAUGUUAAGGAGUCCAUGCAACCCCUGGAGACAUAUUUUUGUCUCAAACUCAAUUCCUAGCUUCAGAUCAAAGCCCUAGGAAAAAAACUUGCAUCUGAGGGAUCCAGAGGCAGAUGAUAACAGAAGUUAAAAUGUACAACAUAGGUGAGUAUGACUAAUUCCUGCCGAUUGAGCCAAGCUUCCUGUUUCAUGGAUAAAGUUCAUGCUAGUAUCCAUGGCAUAAAUAAGAUCUAGGGAACUCGAAGGCUACUGACAGCAGAGGAGAUAGGGUGUACAUGGGUAAGAGCAGAUAUUCCCAUCUCCUAAGCUCCCCUGUUAACAUGGAUGAAAGCUGCUUUGACACCCAUGGGUGAAACUCUUGUCACAGUUGCCAGAACUCGGAGAUGUAAGGACAGAAGAAAGAAAGAAGGGUGCCUCACUUUCUCACAUACCCCAGGUAUUCACUAGGAAGAGAAGGCAACCUGAGUUGCCUCAUUCCCCUCUUUCUACAUGAGUAGCCAUCCAUCUUCAGUCUGUACCACUUUCAAAUGCAUCCUGAACCCCUGAGACUCCUUUGAAAAAAAAAAAAAAAGCCUUCUUUUUUAGUUUCUCCUCCUCAGUUCUCUCUUCACAGAUAGGUAAUUGUGUCUCUGUACUAUGGGACACUCCCCUCAGAUGCAUCCUCCAAACUGGGAAAAGUUAAUUUCCCAAACAUUAAACUGGUUGACUUAGGAUUGGGCUCAGGGUAAGGGAACCCAGAAGCCUGACCUGCUGGCAAAAAGGGUAAAAGUGUUUUUUAAUCAGUUGGGCUCUUGGACUCCCUCUCUCUGUGCAAACUGGUAAAAGUUCUCAAGAUUUUCAAGCAGUCUUUACCUUGAUCUUGUUUAAUUUUUUUUCUUUUAGAGAUAGAGUCUCACUCUGUCACCCAGGCUGGAGUGCGGUGGUGCAAUCUCAGCUCACUGCAACCUCCUCCUUCCAGGUUUCAGCGAUUCUCCUGCCUCAGCCUCCCGAGUAGCUGGGAUUACAGGUGCAUGCCGCCAUGGCUGGCUAAUUUUUUGUAUUUUUUGUAGUAGAGACAGGGUUUCAUCAUGUUGGCCAGGGUGGUCUUGAGCUCCUGACCUCAAGUGAUCUGCCCGCCUCGGACUCGCAAAGUGUUAGGAUUACACGCGUGAGCCACUGCACCCCCUUGUUUUAUUUUGAUACAUGUUUUUUAAUGACCCGGUUUGUCUUUUCUUGCCUUCAGGCCAUAAAACUCCAAACAGUCAUGCAACCAGAGCCUCAGACAAUGGCUUCUUUUGCCAGGGACCCUUGCUUAGGCCUCUGAGGGAGCUCUGACAGCUGUUUUCCCCAAACAGUGCCCCCUUUCAGCACGAAGCAGUUAAGAUCAGUCUUCAUCCUUAUCCUUAUUCUAACAGAAGUUAGAUGUACUUCUUUAGAGAGGGGAAUGAUAGAGGCAGGAGGCAGAUAAGAGAACCUGCAUAGGGUCUUGCCUAAAUAUGCCCUUGGUGAAAAAUUCUGUCCCUUAACACAUGCACAGUAAGUGAAAUAAAUCAAUGUGGAACAGCUCAGACUAAGGGCCCACCUGUGCACUGGGAGAGUGGGGUGGAACCACAGGAAUUUGUGCCUUAUGCAGUGGGGAGGAGCCUGGCAUCUUCUGCUCACAUGUGGUGGCCUGGCAUUCACUCUGUGAGGUGGGAGUCUGCUGGCAAGACCCCCUCUUUUUUCCUGAGAACUUUCUUUUAAUAAAUUCUGUUCUCCUCACCUUUCAAUUGUCUGUGGGCCUAAUUUUUCCUGGUCAUGAGACAAGAACCCAGAUAUUAGCUGAAAGAAGGAGCAAAAAAUCCUGCAUCAGAUUGAUUCUGGACAUUAUAAUAAAUUUGAAUUGAUAGUAUAUAAAGAAUAAGUUGGGAUAUAGAAGAGAUAAGCUUAGAACGCAUGGGUAGGUACAACUCAUGAUUGGUUUGCAACAUAACGUUGUAGAACUCAAAAUCAACUAUGUAAGAUGCAGGGAUAAAUAUAGCUUUUACUGUUCAAAAUGUAACCUUUUUAGCAAUGACAUGGUUUUAGGGUUUAUAUUAAUCAUUGAUAGGUUUUUAUUAAUUCAAUGAGAGUAAAGGUACUUACUAGUAAUUUCAUUGAAAAAUGACAGUAUUUAAGAAUCUAAGAAACUUUAAGAUAUUUAAUAAUCUGGUAUGUGAGAAUUGGAGGAUUUUUUAAAAAUAAGAAAUAUAUAUUAGUGACCUCUAUGUGAUCAAAAGUUAAACAGGUUCAAGAAGCUCCAAACUGAGCCAGAGUUGUUUAAAAAUUUCCAAAUAGCUCUUCAAUUCAUGAGCUUAUCCCCCAAACCUUACCGAUAAGCUAUCAGUUUUGGGGCAAAAGUUUUCUCUUAGUUCAAACAGUUACACUUGAAUCUAAAGUGCAUAUAC
This is a long non-coding RNA of Homo sapiens (human), 4130 nucleotides long. Ensembl annotates it as long intergenic non-protein coding RNA 320. The record is from Ensembl. NCBI's taxonomy places the organism in Eukaryota, Metazoa, Chordata, Mammalia, Primates, Hominidae.